GUGGGGAAUAUUGCGCAAUGGGGGAAACCCUGACGCAGCCAUGCCGCGUGAGUGAAGAAGGCCUUAGGGUUGUAAAACUCUUUCAGUGGUGAAGAUAAUGACGGUAGCCACAGAAGAAGCCCCGGCCAACUCCGUGCCAGCAGCCGCGGUAAUACGGAGGGGGCUAGCGUUGUUCGGAAUUACUGGGCGUAAAGCGCGCGUAGGCGGGCUGGUUAGUUGGGGGUGAAAUCCCAGGGCUCAACCCUGGAACUGCCCUCAAUACUGCCAGUCUUGAGUUCGAGAGAGGUAAGCGGAAUUCCUAGUGUAGAGGUGAAAUUCGUAGAUAUUAGGAAGAACACCAGUGGCGAAGGCGGCUUACUGGCUCGAUACUGACGCUGAGGCGCGAAAGCGUGGGGAGCAAACAGG
RNAcentral lists this ribosomal RNA (405 nucleotides) under uncultured bacterium. RNAcentral's name for it is "bacterial SSU rRNA". It matches the Rfam family "Bacterial small subunit ribosomal RNA", at positions 354 to 776 of the family's 1533-position model. The record is from RNAcentral.